This 415-nucleotide long non-coding RNA is filed under the name Homo sapiens (human). RNAcentral's name for it is "HSALNT0377462". Lineage: Eukaryota; Metazoa; Chordata; Mammalia; Primates; Hominidae. The record is from RNAcentral.
GCUGCUGGGAGCAAGGUUGAGAGCUGGAACGCCGAGGGGCGGCGAACAAAGAGCCCCGACAGAAGGGUCCCGACUGCGCUCGCCUAAGUUGGGGCCGGCAGAACCCUGACCCUUCCUCUGGGAUACUCUUCGCCUUGGAGUAGGACCCUGAGAAGGGAGAACCGGAUGAGUUCGUGGGUGUGACCCGGGGUGAGGCGUUUGGGGAUGAGCAGUACGGGAUCUUCCGCCUUCUGGGACUCUCCUCCCUAGUGUGUUCGUGUUUGUGUCUGCAGUUUAAAUCAACAAAUAAUUGCCAAGUCCCCUCCUCCUCUGGGACUACCUCAAGAUAUAACAGAUGUUGGAAGACACGAAAGAAAGGUCAAGGUAAUCCAAGAUCACAGGAUUCCUUGAUGGCAUAACUGGAAUUAGAAAACAG